ACUUGCUCAUGUAGAUAUUGGCAGCUGUCAGGUUUACCCUUCUGCCAUGCCAUUAGUGUUAUCUAUAAAACAGGACAGAAAAUUGAUGAUUAUAUUGCUCCUUGCUACUCCAUAGAAGUGUACAACAAGAUAUAUGAUCAUUGCUUACAACCUUUGGAGGGAGAGGAGAGUUGGCCUAUUUCAACAAAUCCAAAGCCACAACCACCUAGUCACAUUAGCUUGCCUGGAAGGCCUAAAACAGAAAGAAGGAGAGAGGAAGGAGAAAAACCUAAGGGUACUAAGAUGAGCAAAGUAGGUGGCAAGAUCACUUGUAGUUCUUGCAAAAGGCAAGGACAUAAUAGAUCAAGCUGUAAGAACAAUGAUGCAGCUAAACAUCAUGGAAAUGCUCAUUUGGUCAGAGAAGCUGCAAAACAAAAGAAGAAAGACAAAGAGGCUUUUGAUGCUCUUCAGACUCAGAAAGCUAUGCUUGAAAAGCAGGUUAAGAUGACACUUGUUAGUACUAAUGAAAAAUUGGUUGCUUUUUGUUUCUACUAA
Molecule: ribosomal RNA, 534 nt
Filed under: Triticum aestivum (bread wheat)
Lineage: Eukaryota; Viridiplantae; Streptophyta; Magnoliopsida; Poales; Poaceae
Description: partial small subunit ribosomal RNA
Source: RNAcentral